RNAcentral lists this long non-coding RNA (294 nucleotides) under Homo sapiens (human). RNAcentral describes it as "HSALNT0274400". Lineage: Eukaryota; Metazoa; Chordata; Mammalia; Primates; Hominidae. The record is from RNAcentral.
GCGUUCUCCAGCUGGGUCAGCCGUGGCCCCCGCCUCGGGCUGGAGUCCGGCAGGCAACUGCUGCAGAAACGGAGGCAGAGGCAGGUGGAGGAGCCGCCUCCAGGCGGAGGAGCCCCAGCAAGAUGGGGCGCUGGAGUUGAGCUCAGGCUGUCAGCCCCAGAAUCCAAGCUCCUUGCCCUCGUGCUAACCCAGCCUCACUAACUGGCAGCUGGGGGCACCCUCCCAGCCUGCCAGGGACACCACACUGGGCACACACCACUUCGGCUGCAGGACCCCAUCCUCACUGGCUGUGGC